CUUGAAAUAAACAUGACAGGCAGCUGCAGUGAGAACCAGGUAUCUCUCAUUUCAGGAAUGUAACCAAAAGGUUUCUUUUUUUUUUUUUUUUAAAGGGG
This is a non-coding RNA of Labrus bergylta (ballan wrasse), 98 nucleotides long. The record is from RefSeq and is a predicted model, not a curated record. NCBI's taxonomy places the organism in Eukaryota, Metazoa, Chordata, Actinopteri, Labriformes, Labridae.